UGUACCCCAGAGGGAGGAAUAACUGCCCGAAAGGUGCUAAUACCGCAAACGGUUUUCGGAGUUAAGCCUUCGGGCGUAUGUGGGAACAGCUUUCGUACGAUUAGAUAGUUGAUGAGGUGAAGGCUCACCAAGUCAACGAUCGUUAACUGGUCUGAGAGGAUGAUCAGUCAGACUGGAACUGAGAUACGGUCCAGACUCGUACGGGAGGCAGCAGUGAGGAAUCUUCCACAAUGGGGGCAACCCUGAUGGAGCAACGCCGCGUGCAGGAUGAAGGCCUUCGGGUCGUAAACUGCUUUUAUAGGUGAAUAAUAUGAAUGUAGCUUAUGAAUAAGCACCGGCUAACUACGUGCCAGCAGCCGCGGUCAUACGUAGGGUGCAAGCAUUAUCCGGAGUGACUGGGCGUAAAGAGUUGCGUAGGUGGUUUGUCAAGUGAAUAGUGAAAUCUGGUGGCUCAACCACACAGACUAUUAUUCAAACUGGCAAACUCGAGAAUAGCAGAGGUAACUGGAAUUUCUAGUGUAGGAGUGAAAUCCGUAGAUAUUAGAAGGAACACCAAUGGCGUAGGCAGGUUACUG
Molecule: ribosomal RNA, 575 nt
Filed under: uncultured bacterium
Lineage: Bacteria
Description: bacterial SSU rRNA
Rfam family: Bacterial small subunit ribosomal RNA
Source: RNAcentral